GAGGGUAGAGCUCAGUGGUAGAGUGCAUCCCUGGCAUGCAUGAGGUCCUGGGUUCAAUCCCCGGUACCUCCG
This 72-nucleotide transfer RNA is filed under the name Camelus bactrianus (Bactrian camel). It matches the Rfam family "tRNA". Rfam says of the family: Transfer RNA (tRNA) molecules are approximately 80 nucleotides in length. Their secondary structure includes four short double-helical elements and three loops (D, anti-codon, and T loops). RNAcentral also lists the same sequence under 2 other names. Lineage: Eukaryota; Metazoa; Chordata; Mammalia; Artiodactyla; Camelidae. The record is from Rfam by way of RNAcentral.